Molecule: transfer RNA, 62 nt
Filed under: Haplidia transversa pelopponesica
Lineage: Eukaryota; Metazoa; Arthropoda; Insecta; Coleoptera; Scarabaeidae
Description: tRNA-Leu
Source: RNAcentral
UUAUUUUGGCAGAUUAGUGCGUUAGAUUUAGAAUUUAAGAAUGUAUGUAUAUACAAAUAAUA